UUAUUGCUGAGAGUAUUCUACUGUAUGUAUAUACCACAUUUUAUUUAUUCACCAGUUUAUGGACACUUGGAUUAUGUUCACUUUUAGGUUAUUAUGAAUCAUGCUGCUAUGAACAUUUGUGUGCAAAUCUUUGUGUGGACAUAUGUUGUCAUUUCUCUUGGUUAGAUACAUAGGACUGAAAUUGCUUGGUCAUAUGGUAAAUUUAUGUUUAAUAUUUAAGAAACUAUCAAACUUUUUUCCAAAGCAUCUAUACUAUUUUACAUUCCCACCAGCACUGAAAAUGUUCCUAACUCUCCAUGUCCUGGAAUGUUGACUAUUAUGUCUUUUUUAUUAUGGCGAUUCUAGUAUGUAUGAUAUAAAUCUCCUUAUGCUUUUGAUUUGCAUUUCCCUAAUAACUAAUAAUGUGGACCAUCUUUUUUCUGCAGUUAUUAGCUAGUCAUUGAUUUUUUUUAAUGUUUAUUCCUAUCUUUAAUCCUUUUUUAAUCGUGUUGUCAUCUUAUUGAAUUGUAAGAUAUUUUUGUAUAUUCAGGAUACAGGUCCUUUAUCAGGUAUAGAAUUUGCAAAUAUUUUCUCCCAGCCUGUGGUGUGUCUUUUUAUUUUCUUAAUGAUGUGUUUUGAAGCACAAAAGUGUUGAAUUUGAUGAAGUCCAAAAUAAAAGUUCUUUUCUAUUAUGAGUCAUACUUUUGGUAUUGUAUCUAGGAAAUCUUUGCUUAACCUAAGGUUUUGAAGAUUUUCUCCUAAAAGUUUUAUAUUUUAGCUUUUACAUUUAGGUCUCUCAUCCAUUUUAAGGCAAUUUUUGUGUAUGAUGUGAGGUCUGAGUUCACCUUUUUGCGUGUGGAGAUGCAAUUUUCUCAGUAUUAUUUGUUAAAAAUACCGAUGUUUCUGCUGUUAGAUUUCCUUGACAUCAUUGCCAAAAAUCAGCUGACCAUAAAUAUAACAGUUUAUUUAUCUUAAUUCGAUUCUAUCUUUAUGUCUAUCCUUAUGCCUAUGGUUACUGCCGAUUUUGAUUAUUGUGAUAUUCUGGUUAUCUAAAGAGAAUCAGUGCAAAUGGGCUCAAGACAUUGAACUGUAUUUUUUUUAAAAACAAUUCCUCCCCACAAAAGGAAAUAGAAAAAAUGCGGUAAUCUAAGAAAUUAUUUGCAUGAAAGGAGAACCCUGUUUGUGGGGCUACGAUGGCUGUCAUGCAGAGAAGCCCUGCUGUAUCAAGUGAAAGCCCAAAGAAAAUGGGAGACUUGUAUUAAACAAGGGAGCGCUCGGGGGAGGGGAAGAGAGCGUGGGAGAACUGAGCCAGGUGGUCAGUUAGGGAAAACAUCUAUCUUCCUUACCUGCCCAAACUCAUCAAAGAAUGUCAACUUGGAACUCAUUUAGUAAGAACCUCUAAUUUUUUAAAUGAAAAAGUCUCUAAAAGAUUGUGAUUUAUAAAGAAAAAACCUCUCCUUGUUUUUCUAGGGGUAAAAAAGGCAAAAACAAAGCUACUUUGAUACAGGAGACUGGCUUCUAGCUCUCCUGUCUUCUCACUCUUUCCAUUCUUUCUCUAAUUUAUAAUAUGUCAGGGAUCUGUCAUUUUGCUCUAGAUACAGACAGAACCAGCCUCUAUGAUUCUUUCUAAAAUGGAUAUAGUAUCAACAACACAAUUGCUGUUUAAAAUGACAACAAUGUAGCAAGCCUAAUUUCCGACAUGAUUUAGCACAACAUGCAAAGGAGAAGGAAGACAUCUGGACAUUACUGAAGUCCCUUGAGAUGUUUCCUGAAGGGUCCCCUUUACCAAAUUAUGUGUUGUAGAACAUGAGUAUUGAGAUUGCUUCCUCAAAGGGAGUACUGUAUUUUUAACUUCUCAGAGACAAAUAAGAGGAGAAGCUCAUGGAAGAAAUAUAAGCUGACUAUAUCGUAUAAAAGCACUUUUUCUGGAGUCCUGCUGAGAAGAUGUGGCCAUAACUCCUAAUGUACUUUGCCUGGAGUAGCCUGGGAUCCCUGGGACUUCUUGAAGGAUAAAAAUGAGCUAUAAUUACUUUGGGAGCCUUCCUUAUUUGUGGGUAAAAUGAAUUCCACAUUGCCAAACACUAUAAUCCAAGUCCCUUUCUCAUUCUACUAGGUUAAGUAAAAUAAUAUGACCUCUAGAUUCAGAAACAUAUUACAAUGAGCAUGUGACAACACAUUGGUACCGGGUGAUGUCCAAAAAUUUUGGCUUCUCUAUCAUACCAGCCACUCCCUGAAGAAGGGCACUUUCAGUAGAACUAGGACAUGGGACAGGUAAGUUCUGAUGAAUGGCAAAGGAGACACGAACAGGGUGGAAUGCACAGCACUUAUGCAAAAGCUUCAGAUCUCAACAUGUGAAAAUGAAUUGACCUUUCAGAAUGGUAACCCAUGUGGAUUUUAUAUUAAAUUUCCUUCCACAUAACCAAGUUAUACCAACUAUCACCCUGAGUACAGAACAGGAAUUUGGUGGAUCUCAGCUGAGUACUACUGUCCUGAAUCUGACUCACAUGCCAAUCAAACAAGAAGCCCCUUCCACCCCUUAUACCAUACCACCAAGACAGGUGCUGGAAGACAGGUAGAAACCCCAAGCCCAGGACUGGCACAGGACGAAAGAUGGGGGAAACUGUGUCUCCGCACCCAUUCACCUGCUUUAGACACCCCCUCUUUUUGUUUUCCUCUCUUCCUUGCUGCCCCUAGAGCCCUGCAGUGGCUGCUUUUUCACUCAGUGUCUCCUCCUAGAUCUGUACACUCAGAAAACACCUUCCUCAUUGCCUACCUCUUCCUCAAAACAAACCCAUCCACCUGUUCUAAUGGGCUCUCCAAGGAGAAGGCAGCAAUCCACUCACACAGGCUGCUAAAGACUGACUGUGUUAAGGAUUCUAAUGGGCAAGUCUCUAAAACACUACAGAGGUGAUAUUAGUUGACAGAAGCUUGUUGGAAAAGGAUUUAGAGGCUAACAAGGGCUUUCAAAAUCACACAGCUUUGUGGCCCGAAACCCCCUCCACCUACACUCCAUAGCCUCUCCCUCUCUCCUUGCAGAAGCCCAGAGAAGCCAGGCUGGCCCAGGCCACAUGCAUGAGGGAACAAUCCUGAUGCCUCUUUAGCCUUGUUCUGCAUGAUUAAUUGAGGUUAUUGCAUUGAGACUCUUGUCUGAUUGUGAAAAAAAUUAUCCCAAGGUGGCCUCAGAUUCUUUGGUUAGUCAUUGCCAUGCCUUAGGGCUCUUGUGAGCCCUGGACACACAGCGACAACAACCAGCCACCGGCUGCCUUCUGCUCUGUGGCUCAGAUACUUUGUUCGGACCAUGCUGUGCUCCCAGCUUGGCUUCUGUUCCAUGGAAACUGUGAAGUGCUUAUUGUCCUGGGGCUGGUUGGGACUCAGGAAAGCUGUACGGGAUGAGAGCUGUGCAGGACGAGAGCUGUGCUGGAGGGUAGGCUGCUUGCAGGAUUUAGGGAGGAGGAGUGGAGCUGCUGUCAGACCCCAAGUUCUGGUGGGGCUUCCCAGACCUUUCCUUACUCCAGGGAUCCAAGAAAGGGCUUAAGGGAAGAGUUGGUUGUGGAAAAAAUAUACAGAGGAGCCCUGUGGUGACACAAGGCAUGGUGGGGUGGAUGGGCAGGGAUGGGGUAAGGCCAAGGAAGCCUGAGUAGACCUGGCUUUGGCUUGUGAGCCAAGCUCAUUAGCAGCAAUUUCUGGAAACUAACAAGAAAAAAGUAUUUAGCAACUGUCAUGAAAAGACUCAAAUAACUUUUGAAAAUAGAGUAUUUUCCCCCUGAUUAUAAAACUUCCAUGUUUACUGUAGCAAACAUAGAAAACACAAAAAUCACCAAUGAAAAGACAAAAAUUACCCAAACAGGGGUAACUGCUGUUAAUCUGUUAACAUUUGGUAUGCAUUUUCUGAGCUCUUUUUUUCCUUAUACAUAUAGAAAUCAUAUAUGUGUAUAUACACACUUUUUUAACUAAAGGAGGAAUCAUAUUUUAUUACAUCCUGCCUUUUCCACUCAGCAUUAUAUAUUUUUCUAUAACAUGAUUUUAAUUGCUGAACAUUAUUCCGUCUUUUUCCUGUACCACAAUUUACUCAAUCAAACCCCUAUUGUUGGACAUUUAUGUUGUCUCUAAUUUUUCCUAAUUAUACAUUUUGCACAUAAGUCUUUGCUCACCUUCAUAAUUAUAAUCCUUAAAAUACAUUUCUAGAGAGGAAUAUGCACAUUAAAUUUUUAUACAUACUGUCAUAUUUUCUUCCAAGAAGACUGUUCUAAUUUAUAUUUCCACCAGCAGUAUAUGAAAUGUAUCUUUGUCCUUGAAGCCUAACACUGGGUAGACUAUAUCUUUGUGAAUCUUUGUCAAGGUAAGAAACACAAAGUUCUAUCUCUUUAUUUUAAUUUCAAUCUUUUUCCUUAUUAAUGUGAUUUGGUAUAUUGCCAAUAAGUGGGGUCUUUCUAAUUUUAAUUGCUCUAGAAGAUCUAUUUAUAUAUUGGAAUCUCUUCUUUUUGUUUUAUAUAAUGCAAAUAUAUUUCUAAUUUGUCUUUUCCUUUUAAUUUUGUUUUAUAAUUAUUUGAAGUCAUAUAGUCAAAUGUAUUGAUCUUUUUACUUUAGAGUGUCGAUGCUUGAUGCUAUUUAGGAAGAUUGCUUCCAUCAUGGGAUAUAAUGGUCAUUUUUUGCCUAAAAUUUAGAAGUAAUAUUUUAAUUUUACUAGAAACUCUUUAAUCCAUUUAUACUUUGGGGACACAUGGUCUAAAGUAGGAAAUUUAACUUCCUUCAUCUUCCCGCAGAGGUUAAUCUAUUUUCCAGUAUCAUUUAUUGAAUAAUAGAGUCAUCCUUCAUCAAUAUAAAAUGCUACCUUGUUGAUAUAUUAAGUACUUAUGCAUGAACACUAUUUCUGGAUGCUUUAUAUAAUUUCAUUGAUCUAUCUGUAGAAUUCUGAAGCAAUACUACACGACUUUAAUGAUCAUAAAUUUAUUCUACCCUUAUAUUUAUGUAUCCUUUUUUCUUCUCAAUGUCAGUUUGUUAGUGUUUGCUUCUUUUUUACUGAAUCCUUUUUCUCUUUAUUUUGGUAUUUUGGCUUUGUUUAUAAUGUGUUCAGAGAAUUCUUAGUAUACGUUCCCUUCCCCCUUUAUUUAAAAAUACAUUUAAUAUUAUAAAUUUGCUUCUGAUUACAACAUUGCUUCCAUACUAUAGAUUUUAAAAUAUAAUAUCCUAAUUAUUAUUGUUUCCUAAGUAUUCUUUAAUUAUAGUUUUGACUUUUUCUUUGUCCCAAGAGGUAUCUUUAAAAGCACCUUUGGAUAAUCAAGUAGUAGUUUGAAAUUUUCAUACUUUUAUUUCAAAUAAAAUAUAAGAUAUCUUGCUUGGAAAACUUACUGCUGUUUUCUCUGUGAUGUAAAGCAUGUCAAUGAUCUGUCAAUGGGGUCCAGAAGUCAAAUGAUAUAAAAUGAGCCAUAUCAAUUAUAUUUAUCAAAUUCUCUUUCUCCUUAUUUGCUUUUUUGCCCCUGAUCUGUCAAAAAUUUAUUAGAGUUUUUCCCAACUAUUGUUCUGUACAUCAUUUCGUAUGUUCUAGGCUUUUGCUUUAUGUAUUUUGAUGCUGUGUUAUUCUGUAACUCACAUGUUACUGUAUCUAAGAAAAAUAUCACCAGUAAUGGGACAAAUUAUGUACCACCUGAUAAGAUGCAAUCAGAGCAUCAAUUCUGUGUUGUUUCUGCCAAAAUAUAUAAUCUCAUAUAAUCAUGAGGAAAUUCCAGAUGAACCUUAAGUUGAAGGAUAUUCUGCAAAAUAACUGGCUUGUAAUCUUAAGAUCCCAACCCUUAAAGUCACUAAGGUCAAGGAAAGACUGACAAAUUGUGCCAGAUUGAUAGGGAUUAAAAGACAUGACAAUUCAUCUAACACACCAUCCUGAAUUGGAUCCUUUUACAAUUAAGAACACUACUGGGACAAUUGGUGAAACUUGAAUGGGGUCUGUGGAUUAGAUGGUAGUAAUGUAUCAACGUGCAUGUCUCAGUGUUCAUGUUGGUACUGUGGUUAUGUAGGGAAUAUAUCCUUUUUUUGAAGAAAUUACAAACUAAAGUAUCUGGGGAUGGUGGUACAUCACGUCAGCAACUUACUUCCAAAAGGCUUAGGGAAAAAAGAGUUCUUGGUACUUUUGAAGCUUUCCUAUAUGUUUGAAAUUAUUUUAAAAAUAUUAAAUUAAUAUGAAUAUAUUCUGAGUCAUCUGGACCUCCUCUUUACCCCAAAUCUUGCCAUAUAAUUGGUCUUUACUGCCAUUGGUGCCAAUUAGCAUCACUAUAAGUGGUGGUGUUUGGCUUUUGAAUGUGUUAGUUAACAUAUUUGAGUGCUCUGUGUCCAGAGGGGCUCAGCUAGCAACCUGAGCAGUGAAGUAGUGCAAAAUUGGGAGAAGUGGGGAGAGGGAGCAGCAAGGGCUUGUAACAGAACUUCCUGGAGACACGCAGAGCAAGGAAGUAUUGAUAGUCCCCAGGUUGCAGUUGGAGGCUGAAAUCUGGUUCACAAUGGAAUAGAAUGAAUUCUGCUGAAAGCAGUGACCACUUUGCCUCAUUUUUUUUUUUCAGGGGUGAGACAAAAUGUGCCAUGAGUGAUGGCCUUUGGUGAUCUACAGACAUCCCUGGCUCUAGCAAUCAUUUGUGUAGGGAGCUUGUAAAAGGCUUUGAAGCUAGAAGGCAAAGCCUGAACACUGAGGAUUCUUUUUCUUAAAUCAUUUUAUUCUAUGACUCGAAAAACAAAAUCCCGCUUGAGCAGAGAGCAACAGUCAAGGCUGCCAAACUCCACUUGUGGUAACUUUUUUUUUUUUUUAAACAGCAGUUAAAAAAAUAUGUGGACUGCAAAAUGUGUACAAGCCAAAGCACAAAAAGACAAUGGACAUGACAUUUAGGCAGGAGGUGGGGGAAAUGCAAAAGGGACUUCCUCUGGAGCAGUAACAAUUAGCCCCAUUAGCUUGUGCAUAACCCAUAAAUGUAAGGUACAGGGAAAUGGUGGGAGCGAAUCAUUGUGGUGCCCCUGGGAACAUCUCUCUAGGCUGGAACCAUCUCACUAACCGGAUGUAAAAAGAUCAUAUGGUGUGUGUCUUUCAGUGGCAAUUAACCUCAAUUAUUAUCCUAUAGUCCAUAAAAACAGCUGCAUGGAACAGGGUCUGUGAGGGAUCCGUAUCUAGGUCUGGAAUCUCCUCACAGUUCUCCAAGAGAGUGACUAUGUUUGGGGCAUUUUCAGACAUGCUAUAAAUCCUAACUGGCAUUGUUUGCUCCCAGCGAUAAAAGAAAGGGUAGCAGGUGUGCCUCCCAACCAACCCUUUAUUGCCUGGGCAUGUGACAGCAUUUUGCGGCACCUCAGUAAUGAGCCAGAGAAGAAGGAAAGGCAGAUGAAUUUGCCAGCAUUAUUGCAGGUAUCUUGAAGGAGAGUUGAGCCCAGCUUUUCAAUUCAUACAGAUCCUUUCUCUGAAGAACCCCUUCCUGAUAUUGUCACUUUAACACAUCUCUGUGGUUUUAUUUUGAAAUUUUUAAAGGUACAGUCAUGUGCCGCAUAAUGACAUUCAGUCAAUGACAGACUGCAUAUAUGAGGUGGUCCUGUAAGGUGAUAAUGGAGCUGAAAAAUUCCUACUACUGAACGACAUCAUAGCCAUUGUAACAUCAUAGCACAACCAAUCACCUUUUCUAUAUUUAGGAGCAAAGGCAAUACAAUGGAGAAGACAGUCUUUUAACAAAGGUGCUGGAAUAACUGGACAGCCAUGCACACACACAGAAAAGAAUCGAGACACAGACUUUACAUCUUCACAAAGGUAAUGCAAAAUGGAUCAUACACCUAAAUGUAAAAUACACAAUUAUGAAACUCCUAGAAGAUAACAUAGGAGAAAAUCUGACAACCUUGGGUUUGGCAAUGACUUUUUAGGUACAACACUGAAGGCACCGCCCAUGAAAGAAACAACUGAUAGGCUGAACUCCAUUAAAAUUAAAAGCUUUUGCUCUGCAAAUACAAGAGAAUGAGAACACAAACCAUAAGGAGUUCAUAUGCUGGAAUGAUAGUGACACAGGAGUUUAACACUCCUACAGUAUCCAGAGCCUGGAUCCCUGAGUCAUCAGAUGGAGAAGAACUACUCAGGAGAGUCAUCCAACCUUCAUAGACAGUGGCAUGAGUGGGAAUUAAACAUUGAUUAUGUUAA
Long non-coding RNA from Homo sapiens (human), 8128 nucleotides. RefSeq lists it as uncharacterized. Lineage: Eukaryota; Metazoa; Chordata; Mammalia; Primates; Hominidae. The record is from RefSeq and is a predicted model, not a curated record. The transcript is spliced from 5 exons.